Molecule: unclassified non-coding RNA, 380 nt
Filed under: fungal sp.
Lineage: Eukaryota; Fungi
Description: partial internal transcribed spacer region
Rfam family: Eukaryotic small subunit ribosomal RNA (bases 1-46)
Source: RNAcentral
AAGUCGUAACAAGGUUUCCGUAGGUGAACCUGCGGAAGGAUCAUUAACACGUAUCCAAACGUUAAACCCCCCCUGUGAACCUUCAGUGUACUCCAGCAAUCCCUGGUAAAUCAUCGCCGAACAGUUUUCGAUUCAGGGACGUCUGCAAGGAGCGUGCAUGUUGUGCGAAGCAAGUGGCCUGGCAUCCCCAAGCAGUUAGUGUCUGAAAGUGUCAUUAACUGUGUAAGGAUGACGCAGUCACGAUCGUUGGAGGCCCACACGGCCGACGACCGGGUCACUGGGCGCAAGCCCCCCUAUAACAAACGCUGCUAAUCGCGGCCGCGAUAAUACGCAGUCGACCAAAAACCGAACAACUGUUAACAAUGGAUAUCUUGGUUCUC